Peromyscus californicus insignis is the source of this 2723-nucleotide long non-coding RNA. RefSeq lists it as uncharacterized. The record is from RefSeq and is a predicted model, not a curated record. NCBI's taxonomy places the organism in Eukaryota, Metazoa, Chordata, Mammalia, Rodentia, Cricetidae. The transcript is spliced from 2 exons.
GUCACUAAGCUCUAUCUACACCCUAGUUUCUUCAGACUAGCCUUCACUGUGGAGCCUCAAACUCUCAUUCCUCCUGCCUCCACUCCGGAUUGCUGGGAUUACAGCUGCCACCACAAUGGCUCUAAACAAACUUCCCUGUUUGUGAAUCACCCAGUCUGCAGUACUCUGGACGGCAGCACAAAACGGACUAAGCUCAAGGCGGGAACAACUCACACAAUAAGCCUCUGCUUGUGGGUCCACAACAUGUCCUCUCUCCCGUGGCAAAAAAACGUGAGGUUUUUGGCUCUUUCUAAAUUUCUUCACUUGUAAUCCAGACCACACCAUGUCCCUGGGGGCUGAGGAAGCUGCUCUGUUUCCCAGGAAACCACUCUGAGUCUUGAAGACUUAUUAAGCACUCCACAAACUUGAGGGAGUGUUUUCAUACUGAUGCAGCCAGAGCUAGAUCCCUAGGGAGGUAGUGAGCUCUCCGUCCCUGCAGGUGUACAAGCUGAAGCCAAGCAAAGAAUUCGAAGAGAAUUGCUGCAAGAGAGAUUCCAACAUCAGAAAAGAUGAGCUGACUCCCCUCCCCCUCCAAACAAACAAACAGCAGUAGUUCAGAGCCAAGUGAACUGUUUUCAGAUUCCCCGAUCUGCGGAGCUGCCGUGGGUAAGUUACUCAAUUGCUCGUUACUCAAUUUUAAACUAUUAAUAGUGCUUUCCUCACUGCAUUACUGGAAGAUUACAUCAUAAAUUAAUACGUGUGAAACAUUUUAGCAAAAUGCCUGACACAUGGUAAAUCUAUACCCACUAGUUACUGCUGUCAGACUUUGCAUUUUUAACUUCGGAGUUAAAAUGUUGUGUUGAAAACUUCAGUCGACACUGUGUAAGAGAUAGUCAAAGGCCUGCUGCCCUGCCUGGUGGCGUAGGGCUGGAAUUCCCGGAACCCCAUCCCCUCUGGUCCCUGCCUAUGACACCACAGUUGAUAUGAGGACACCUGCAUUUCAGGAAGCAGGCCGAAGUGUCAGGAGAGAAUGAAUGUAAGGAGAAAGGAGAAAGUGUCCGGAGAGAAAGAACACAGGGAGAAGGGGCCAGGAACCAGAUACAGUAAUUGAGGUGUCUGAGCACAGAGGGCCUUCAGCCCAUGAGGGAGAGGCCGAGACCGGCCAUUGGAAGAGAGUCUCCAACUUUGCCACAACCUCCCUCCUCCCAGCUCAGGUUGGCUGUGCUCCACAGCAGGACUCAGGACAGAGUCGGGGGAGUGAGUACAUCUGAGGCCUGUCGGGACACUGCUGGGACCAGACUGGUACCCUACAAAGGGAGUACCUGGCUGCAAAGGGGGUUUGUCUGAAGUCACCAUCAGGUCAUUGGGCCAUGCCUUAGGAGUCUAGGCCUUGUUUCUACCCACAGGAAAACGGCACAGUGGUAACUACAGUCACAAUAAUAACAAUAGUGAAGUGAUCUUUCUCUUUAAUCUCCCCAUGGGAGUCAUAGUCACAACAGUGAUAACAAUAGUGAUUGUGUUGACUUUUCUUUGAUGACCAAGAAAGGUCAGACAUGACUCAACAUUCGUUCCGGGACCAUUUUUUUUUUCAUCGUGGUAAAUCCCUCCAUUGGGGAACAACAUGCUCCGUUUUCCAGGGGAGCAAGUGCAGGCACAGAGAGGAGUCAGGGGCUGUCUGAGACACACAGCUGGCGCUCGGCAGAGUGGGACUAGAUCCUGUAGCCUAGCUACACUGCCCGUGUCAUGUACAUAUGUUAUUAGAGGUAAGUAGGCUUUCUUUACGGAAGUGCAAAUUAUCAGUGUUCGUAGACAAAGGGGGUUUCCGAGUUCAGGGAGCUACCAUGUGUGCACAGCUGCCUUCCGGAUAGCUAAUAGCUCCUCUCAUUGUGGCUCCAGAGAAGCCAAGUGUUCAUUUUCUCCUUUCACCAGGAGUGGUACAUGACCCCGAUGGAACCAAGAUUUGUGUAUGUUCAGGUGCUACUGUGCAUUACAAAGCUCUUACAGCAAUGGUUAUUGCUUUUCCCUCUUGCCUGCACAGAAAAGGGGUGCAUUUCCUGAAACCCAAAAGCCAUUUUAUAAUCACAAAGCACCAAGAAUGAGAAUAACAAGGUACCUGUUAGAGCUUCAGGACUUGGCUUGGCCCAGGCUCAGAAAAGGCACCUAUGCUGUUUGUUCUUCAGGCCACACUGUGGCCAGCCACCAGAGCAGUCUACAUGAACAAACUCAAGGAUCUUGAAGAAUGAAGUAUGGAUCUUGCCCUAAACCCCGCUGCUGAGAAAUGUCCAAGGUCCCGAGAAUCCAUCCUACCGACUUCGAGCAAACAUCCGGCUUAGCCUACAGUUCCCAUCUAGACAAGCACUGAGGGACAUGAUGCCACAUUCCCAGUGCUGACAGGUGAAUGAAGCCAGCAGUGUGGGGAGCAGGUGAAGUGCUAAGUGGACGUGUGUUGUUGACAGGAGCACAGCCAUGUCAAGGACCCCAAAGCCUCAGACCCAGGGGAAUGGCACAGCCUUCCUGAGGUCAGGCUCAGGAAAUGGUAAAGUCUUCCCUUGGUCUGUGUGCAGACGUUGUCAGUGUGUGUGAAAUGUCAACAGCAGCUUCCUCUCCCUGGAUGUUUACAGCCUGAGACUGGUCCCCUAUAGAGACCUCCUACCAAGAUUAACUAAAUCUGCCUUUUCUUUCCUCUGUGUACAAUAAGCCCACUUCCUUGUUCAGCUGUAUAAAUAAAUGCACUACGUUUCUGG